Glycine soja is the source of this 706-nucleotide long non-coding RNA. RefSeq lists it as uncharacterized. The transcript has 5 exons. The record is from RefSeq and is a predicted model, not a curated record. NCBI's taxonomy places the organism in Eukaryota, Viridiplantae, Streptophyta, Magnoliopsida, Fabales, Fabaceae.
AGGUUUGGCUGCACUUAAUAGAUGGUCUCUCUUGCUACAUUUUUCCUUUGUUUGGCAUAUGAUUUAACUCAUUCAGCAGUGCCCUUGUUCUGUUGAAGAAGCAUGUAAAGGGGUAAGAUUGCAAAGAUGGAGGCCCUUUUGGUGCUGUUAUAGUUCAUAAUGAUGAAAUAGUUGUCACAACAUGGUUCUGUGUAACACAGAUCCAACUGGUCAUGCUGCGGUGACAGCAAUAAGAGAGAAAUUUGCACAUGAUGGACAUGCCCUACCCCGUUGGAUAGCAAAGCUUGUAAGAAGCUUAAGCAGAUAGAACUUGCAGAUUGCGAAAUAUAUGCUUCUUGUGAGCCUUGUCCCAUGUGCUUUGGUGCAAUCCACCUUUCUCGAAUUAAGAGGGCUGAGGCAGCAAUUGCUAUUGGGGUUUGAUGAUUUCAUUGCAGAUGCCUUGCAAGGUACUGGAUUCUAUCAGAAAGUAACAUGGGAAAUUAAGAGAGCUGAUGGUAUAUCAUUGCUGAAGAGGUUUUUGAGAAAACAAAGGAAAAAUUCCAAAUGUAUUAUAUCUGUCAUUCUUUUAACAGCUGAUGGCAAGUGGCCAUUGGAGUUCUACUUCCAACAACAGAUUAUGUUCUCCUUCAUAACUUUGCAGAUUUAUAUAGCUUGGAUUAUUUGUGUAUAAGUUAAUUUUAAAAUGAAAAUGAGCAAAUUUUUUAAA